RNAcentral lists this ribosomal RNA (490 nucleotides) under Mesepipsocus sp. 3.2.2004.13. RNAcentral's name for it is "partial 16S ribosomal RNA". The record is from RNAcentral. Lineage: Eukaryota; Metazoa; Arthropoda; Insecta; Psocodea; Elipsocidae.
UCUUUUUAAAAGGUUAAAAAGUCUAAUCUGCUCACUGAAUUUAUUUAAAGAGCCGCAGUAUCUUGACUGUGCAAAGGUAGCAUAAUCAAUAGUUUCUUAAUUAGGAACUGGAAUGAAUGAUUUGAUGAAAAAUUUAUUUUUUUUGUUUUAGUAAAUUGAACUUAAAUUUUAAGUUAAAAUUCUUAAUUAUUAUUAAAAGACGAGAAGACCCUAUAGAUUUUUAUUAUCCAUAUUUAAUUUUAAUAUUUAUUAAAUUAUUAUAAUUUAGUUGGGGCGAUUAUGUAAUAUAUAAAACUUAAUUUUAUUUAACCAUGUAUUUUUGAAUUUUUUGAUCCAAAAAUUUUGAUUAUUAGAUUAAAUUACCUUAGGGAUAACAGCGUAAUUUUAUUUAAGAGUUCAUAUCUAUAAUAAAGUUUGCGACCUCGAUGUUGAAUUAAGAUUUAUACUGAAGCAGAAUAUAGUAAUAAUAGUCUGUUCGACUAUAAAAAUC